CUUGUGCCAUCACCAAUCAUGCGUCAUGGCUGCUUGAGUUUCUUUUUCCUAACGCGCCAGAGUCGCCACUGAUCUUUGCUUUUGUUUGGUUUCAUCCGUUGAGAAACUUUAAUUCGUUUAACGCCACUCGUGACGUCACGGCCCCGCCUCCUCCCUCCUCCCCUGCCGGAGGUGGGGAGUCUCUUGAGCCGCGAUUCCACAAACAUCUACUCGGCGCGGUACGGUUCGCCACUAUUGUAUCUGACUCGGCUCGUCUCGGUUUAGUUGUUUUUCCAUAUAGCCUCAUCGUGGGUGGAGUCGUCAUAGCGCAGCGAGCCGAAAGUCCCUUAACGUCAUUUGUGUGCGACACCAACGCAACAUAACGGAGACGAUGGUACACCUGCUGCUCGGUCUGUGGCUUUCUGUCAGAUUCAAAGUAAAAGAAGAGUCAUAGAAAGCUGAGAGCAGCGAGUCGGAACACUCAGGAGACACACAGGAGAGUUUAGGAGGCAAUACAGCAGUAUCAAGCUGAAGACAAGAGGAUAUGAACUGGACGACAUAUGAGGAUGCUCUCUGAUGAGACUUCAUGGGAUUUACCUGAAGCAGCAGCACAUGAGCCUGCAGUGGCACAAGGUGUAGAGGAGGAGGACAGAGAUGUACAGGAUGCACUGAUGCACUACGUGUCAUGUAAAAGUUAAAAGUUAUUCUUCUUGUUAUACUUCUGUUUUUCUGUCCCCGGACCACUAUUGUUUUCUUGAAUGCAAUUCUGACAAUAAACUUUUGUACCUUUUGCAGAUGUGUCUAUGUGAUAGUAUGUGUUUUUCUGGGAUACGUGCUUUCUAUAUAUUUUCUUUAGCUCAAGAAUGUUAAACAGAAUGAAACCAUAUGUUGAAACGUUUACUUUAGCCAUCAUUCAUCACAGGUUGACCUGUGGGUUAACCUAAAGGGACUAGGGACCUCCUGGCUCCCUCUUUCUCUCUUUCUUCUUCUCACGCAAUGUAUUCUAACCUAUGCCAGAUGUUGAAACCUAUAAAGAUCUAGUCAUUGUAACUCUCUUCAUUCAUCCACCGCAUGAUGCUUGAAUCACGAGCUCGUCCGUAUUAAAUGUACUCUUAAUUUGA
Molecule: long non-coding RNA, 1100 nt
Organism: Amphiprion ocellaris (clown anemonefish)
Lineage: Eukaryota; Metazoa; Chordata; Actinopteri; Pomacentridae
Exons: 2
Source: RefSeq, a predicted model, not a curated record